AUGGAACCUGCCAACAGAUACGGAUAAUGGUACCUGCCAAACAUCAUAUGCUGGAUUGAGAAUAAACAUUGGGGUGGUGAUGCCUUUCGCCACUUCUUGUGGGAAAAAGCACUACAAGGCACGAUUAAGGAUUGCUACUUAGCACAUAACAGCUUGAAAAGUACUGAAUAAAAAAGGUGAUGAUAUUAAUACAAGAAACAGUAUCAUAAAAACAACUAAAGGAUUACCUGCCCUGGUUCCAUAUCUGAACUACAACCAGGGAACCGUUUCCGCAAAUCCUGCAACAAAUCAACAGCAAACAUAAGAAUCAUACAAUUAAAAAAAAACAAAAAAAGGGUAUACGCAGAGAAAAGUGCAGACAGCGACCUGUUGACGAGCAACAUCAUUAUAGAAGCCCCGCAUAUACCUUCUCCCAGAAAUGUCUUCCCUGUAAUGAGAA
Molecule: small RNA, 439 nt
Filed under: Oryza sativa Japonica Group (Japanese rice)
Lineage: Eukaryota; Viridiplantae; Streptophyta; Magnoliopsida; Poales; Poaceae
Description: sRNA Os01g0974550
Source: RNAcentral